RNAcentral lists this ribosomal RNA (431 nucleotides) under uncultured SAR324 cluster bacterium. RNAcentral's name for it is "bacterial SSU rRNA". It matches the Rfam family "Bacterial small subunit ribosomal RNA", at positions 387 to 835 of the family's 1533-position model. The record is from RNAcentral. Lineage: Bacteria; Deltaproteobacteria.
UGCAGCAAUGUCGCGUGAGUGAAGAAGGCCCUUGGGUCGUAAAGCUCUUUUAUGGGGGAAGAUGAUGACGGUACCCCAAGAAUAAGCACCGGCUAACUAUGUGCCAGCAGCCGCGGUAAUACAUAGGGUGCGAGCGUUGUUCGGAAUUACUGGGCGUAAAGGGCGCGCAGGCGGAAUAGUAAGUCGGAGGUGAAAGCCCGGGGCUCAACCCCGGAGGGUCUUUCGAAACUGCUAAUCUAGAGAGGGUCAGGGGCCGGCAGAAUUCCUGGUGUAGAGGUGAAAUUCGUAGAUAUCAGGAGGAAUACCGGUGGCGAAGGCGGCCGGCUGGGGCCACUCUGACGCUGAGGCGCGAAAGCGUGGGGAGCAAACAGGAUUAGAUACCCUGGUAGUCCACGCCGUAAACGAUGAGCACUGGACGUCCGGAGGGUUCG